Molecule: ribosomal RNA, 468 nt
Filed under: uncultured bacterium
Lineage: Bacteria
Description: partial 16S ribosomal RNA
Rfam family: Bacterial small subunit ribosomal RNA
Source: RNAcentral
GACGAACGCUCGCCCCUUUCUUCCCACAUUCACUUCGAACGUAAAUGCCCUGCUUUUUUGUUGUGCUCGAGUGGCGAACGGGUGAGUAACACGUGAGUAACCUGCCCUUGACUUUGGGAUAACUUCAGGAAACUGGGGCUAAUACCGGAUAGGAGCUCCUGCUGCAUGGUGGGGGUUGGAAAGUUUCGGCGGUUGGGGAUGGACUCGCGGCUUAUCAGCUUGUUGGUGGGGUAGUGGCUUACCAAGGCUUGUCCGGGUAGCCGGCCUGAGAGGGUGACCGGCCACAUUGGGACUGAGAUACGGCCCAGACUCCUACGGGAGGCAGCAGUGGGGAAUAUUGCACAAUGGGCGGAAGCCUGAUGCAGCAACGCCGCGUGCGGGAUGAAGGAAUUCGGGUUGUAAACCGCUUUCGCCUGUGACGAAGCGUGAGUGACGGUAAUGGGUAAAGAAGCAAAGGAUAAAUACGGG